UGGCGGCCGCCUAACACAUGCAAGUCGAGCGCUUCACUUCGGUGAGGAGCGGCGGACGGGUUAGUAACGCGUGGGAACAUACCCUUUUCUAAGGAAUAGCCACUGGAAACGGUGAGUAAUACCUNNUACGCCCUUCGGGGGAAAGAUUUAUCGGUGAAGGAUUGGCCCGCGUUAUAUUAGAUAGUUGGUGGGGUAAUGGCCUACCAAGUCUACGAUCUAUAGCUGGUUUGAGAGGAUGAUCAGCAACACUGGGACUGAGACACGGCCCAGACUCCUACGGGAGGCAGCAGUGGGGAAUCUUAGACAAUGGGCGCAAGCCUGAUCUAGCGAUGCCGCGUGAGUGAUGAAGGCCUUAGGGUCGUAAAGCUCUUUCGCCAGGGAUGAUAAUGACAGUACCUGGU
RNAcentral lists this ribosomal RNA (401 nucleotides) under uncultured Paracoccaceae bacterium. Its description in RNAcentral is "bacterial SSU rRNA". It matches the Rfam family "Bacterial small subunit ribosomal RNA", at positions 37 to 483 of the family's 1533-position model. The record is from RNAcentral. Lineage: Bacteria; Pseudomonadati; Pseudomonadota; Alphaproteobacteria; Rhodobacterales; Paracoccaceae.